UGUAUGCUGGAGCAGCCCCCGAUUUGUGGGGUGAUUACAGC
RNAcentral lists this unclassified non-coding RNA (41 nucleotides) under synthetic construct. Its description in RNAcentral is "crRNA from synthetic construct (PDB 7VTI, chain B)". The record is from RNAcentral.